AUCUAGUUGAAAAGAACUCGAAAUUAAACUUAAUUAUAAGAGUCUGAAAACUCAACUCAGUCUUCAAGCAGAGGACUGUAAGGGCUCGAGUACUGCCCAGCACUAUCCGAGCUGACCGGGACGUCCGAGCUGACUGUUCGUGACAAAUGUCAUAAUAAAUGUCAAUCAGAUUGAAAAAAAUGGUUCGAUCGAAAGCAAGCGGAUAUGGAAGGAAAUAAUAAAAUCAAAAUAUUGGCCCUGGCUGCCUUAAUGACUGAUGAAGAGGCUACUGCACAUUCUAGGUAAUGGGGCGUACAUGCACUUUGGUCGACACGUUCGGAAAAAUGAGAAUACACAGCAUGAUGUAAAGAGCUUUAUGUACUGAUAUGACCCAAGACUCUUUCGAAGCCGUUCACUGCAGAAUUAAACAACGUUUAACAAAAACAAAAACUCUGGAUCUCUGCUUAAGGUAAGAUAUGGAAAUACAAUGCAUGUACCUACUAAUAAAUAUGUAUAAUCAAGUGCCGAAACAUAUUAAGCUAUUAAGAGGAAAGGGAAUGACCGAUUCUCCAUACAAACAUAGUUCCCGUUUUCCUGACUGGAUAUUGAUAUUAUGGAAUAUUUAAGUAGCCUUCAGCAAACUGUAGUGAUACCCAAUGCAUUUUGUUACAUUCCACAAUUGUAGAUUUUUCAGCUUAUCGGGUUUUGACAUUAUUUUCUCCCAUCAAUCCGACGUUCUUCAGUGUUCAUGUGUUCAGUUCAGAUUUGUUCAGUUCCAGGAACGCAUAAGAAACGAGUUUAAAACAGAAGAAAUUUACAAUGGCUGCGAGAAUGUAACAAAAAUUUAAAGUAUCGAUAUAAGAUAAUUAUCUUCAAGCUGUUUUCGGCCACAGCGAAUACAAUACAGCACUAAAAAUGUCGGUGGUGCGCACUCAAUAAAAUAAGCAGUUCAUAUUACGAGUGACGUGACUAUAUCAUCAUAUCAGCCUUUUGUUACCCACUGCUGAGCAUAGUCGAGACAGAUCAUCCACUCCAGAUGCAACCCUAAUACUGACCACGAUCCUCAGACAUGAGGGACCGACCAAAGAGAGAGCUGAGCAUAGGCCUCUCUUCGAAUACGCCACUUAUCCCGGUCCCAAGCCAAUCUCAUCCAGAAGUGACCCGCAGUCUUCCACCCAACGAGCUAACGGACGCCAGGCACUCCUUUCGUCUGUAUGCGGCCACCAUUCCGUUAACAUUUUGGCCCACCUGCCAUCACUCUGCCUGACAACUUGUCCCGCCCAGCUCCAUUUAAGUUUGGUAAUGACGUAUCCGACUUCUUGCAACUUGGUGCGAUGUCGAAUCUCUACAUUCCUCACUCGAUCUUGUAGUUUGAUGCCGACCAUGGCGCGCUCCAUGGCUCUUUGUGCCACUUAGAUUUUAUGCAUGACGUGACUAUAUAGAAAAAUAAAAAUAAAAAUAAA
This is a long non-coding RNA of Cydia fagiglandana, 1442 nucleotides long. RefSeq lists it as uncharacterized. Lineage: Eukaryota; Metazoa; Arthropoda; Insecta; Lepidoptera; Tortricidae. The transcript is spliced from 2 exons. The record is from RefSeq and is a predicted model, not a curated record.